UGGAGAGACCCUGGGGGUAUGCUUCAAAGGAGAAUGUGUUUCAUUGAUUUAAUUGUCUUCUAGAUUUUGGUUUGUGUACCCAGAUUUGCCUUUGCCUCCACCACUGUGAUAUGGAAGUCGUCUAUUCCUCUAUUCCACAAAUGUGUGUUGUGUACCUACUAUGUGUCAGGCAGUAUGCAAGACACUGUGGAAAUGAGAGCAAGCCAGAGACACACAGCUCCGGCCCUCACGGGGCUUCCAGUGUGGUGGACGAGACUGAAGCUAAACAAGUAAUUGUGCAGAACUUUAAAGGUAAAGACUCUGGAGUCAGACCUCUGGCCUCUGUUCUCUUGGUCCCUCACUCAUAGACUGUUGACUUCAGGCAAACUAUUCCAACUCUCUGAGCCUCAGUUCCUUACCUGCGAAAUGGAAAUAGCACCUGCCCUAUGAAGUUAUUGGGAGGAUGAAGUGAGAUUACCCACAUAAAAUACUUCACUCAGUGUCUGACAGGAAUCAACGGGAGAACCGGGCAAGCAAAGCACUCCAAAAGCACUUCAAUAUGAGAACGUCUGUCUGUUCUUCAUUUAUUGCCAUUUAAGCUCUGGCUUGGAGUCUGAGUCUCUCCCUUUCUUAUCUGUAUCUGAGUCAGGAUGGCAAGGCAAGCCGCAUCUUGCUAAAGAAUCAAGGAGGGACAGGCU
Long non-coding RNA from Mirounga angustirostris (Northern elephant seal), 677 nucleotides. RefSeq lists it as uncharacterized. The transcript has 3 exons. The record is from RefSeq and is a predicted model, not a curated record. Lineage: Eukaryota; Metazoa; Chordata; Mammalia; Carnivora; Phocidae.